UGAGUCCUGAAACAUACCCGUGUUUAAAGAUCUGGGAGGUGCAGAGGAAUUAUCAAAGGAGGCUGAGAAGGAGCAGCCAGUGAGGUGUGUAGAAAAACAAGAUAAGCAGAAAGAAAAGCAAGAGAUAUGGAACUGAACUUCCCUUUGGCAAAAAAUUUAGAAAAUGAUAAUUAGUCUCUAGACCCCUUCGUGGAUGGUAUCAGAUGAUUUCAGUCCAACCUUCCAUUGCAUUCUCUGACUGAGCCAACACAGCUGGAUUCUCAGCCAACUAUGAAGUUUAAAUUGACUCCGCUUUCUGUCUCUCUGAAGAUAACGUUAAGCUGCAGCUCCGUAUCUGUGAAAACCCAUUUCACAGCAUCUGCAUCCCUGGAUUGCUAAAUACCCUUGUCUAGUUACCCAAAUAUUAAUGGAUCCCAUGGAAUAAGGUGGCAUGAUUUAGGCACAAGCAAUUACCAAAGGAUUUUGAAAAGCAGUAACUCCAAAUUAUCUUGUAAAGUUGAGAAUAAUCUGAGAAGAGCUAUUGUAAGAUUGGGAAUCAAGUAACAAAAUAAAGAUAUGAACCAUC
This 565-nucleotide small RNA is filed under the name Pan troglodytes (chimpanzee). Its description in RNAcentral is "sense overlapping". The record is from RNAcentral. Lineage: Eukaryota; Metazoa; Chordata; Mammalia; Primates; Hominidae.